RNAcentral lists this ribosomal RNA (1372 nucleotides) under uncultured bacterium. RNAcentral's name for it is "bacterial SSU rRNA". It matches the Rfam family "Bacterial small subunit ribosomal RNA", at positions 28 to 1381 of the family's 1533-position model. The record is from RNAcentral.
GAUGAACGCUGGCGGCGUGCCUAAUACAUGCAAGUCGAGCGAACGGACGAGAAGCUUGCUUCUCUGAUGUUAGCGGCGGACGGGUGAGUAACACGUGGAUAACCUACCUAUAAGACUGGGAUAACUUCGGGAAACCGUAGCUAAUACCGGAUAAUAUUUUGAACCGCAUGGUUCAAAAGUGAAAGACGGUCUUGCUGUCACUUAUAGAUGGAUCCGCGCUGCAUUAGCUAGUUGGUAAGGUAACGGCUUACCAAGGCAACGAUGCAUAGCCGACCUGAGAGGGUGAUCGGCCACACUGGAACUGAGACACGGUCCAGACUCCUACGGGAGGCAGCAGUAGGGAAUCUUCCGCAAUGGGCGAAAGCCUGACGGAGCAACGCCGCGUGAGUGAUGAAGGUCUUCGGAUCGUAAAACUCUGUUAUUAGGGAAGAACAUAUGUGUAAGUAACUGUGCACAUCUUGACGGUACCUAAUCAGAAAGCCACGGCUAACUACGUGCCAGCAGCCGCGGUAAUACGUAGGUGGCAAGCGUUAUCCGGAAUUAUUGGGCGUAAAGCGCGCGUAGGCGGUUUUUUAAGUCUGAUGUGAAAGCCCACGGCUCAACCGUGGAGGGUCAUUGGAAACUGGAGAACUUGAGUGCAGAAGAGGAAAGUGGAAUUCCAUGUGUAGCGGUGAAAUGCGCAGAGAUAUGGAGGAACACCAGUGGCGAAGGCGACUUUCUGGUCUGUAACUGACGCUGAUGUGCGAAAGCGUGGGGAUCAAACAGGAUUAGAUACCCUGGUAGUCCACGCCGUAAACGAUGAGUGCUAAGUGUUAGGGGGUUUCCGCCCCUUAGUGCUGCAGCUAACGCAUUAAGCACUCCGCCUGGGGAGUACGACCGCAAGGUUGAAACUCAAAGGAAUUGACGGGGACCCGCACAAGCGGUGGAGCAUGUGGUUUAAUUCGAAGCAACGCGAAGAACCUUACCAAAUCUUGACAUCCUUUGACAACUCUAGAGAUAGAGCCUUCCCCUUCGGGGGACAAAGUGACAGGUGGUGCAUGGUUGUCGUCAGCUCGUGUCGUGAGAUGUUGGGUUAAGUCCCGCAACGAGCGCAACCCUUAAGCUUAGUUGCCAUCAUUAAGUUGGGCACUCUAAGUUGACUGCCGGUGACAAACCGGAGGAAGGUGGGGAUGACGUCAAAUCAUCAUGCCCCUUAUGAUUUGGGCUACACACGUGCUACAAUGGACAAUACAAAGGGCAGCGAAACCGCGAGGUCAAGCAAAUCCCAUAAAGUUGUUCUCAGUUCGGAUUGUAGUCUGCAACUCGACUACAUGAAGCUGGAAUCGCUAGUAAUCGUAGAUCAGCAUGCUACGGUGAAUACGUUCCCGGGUCU